RNAcentral lists this ribosomal RNA (464 nucleotides) under uncultured bacterium. RNAcentral's name for it is "partial 16S ribosomal RNA". It matches the Rfam family "Bacterial small subunit ribosomal RNA", at positions 28 to 506 of the family's 1533-position model. The record is from RNAcentral.
GACGAACGCUGGCGGCGUGCUUAACACAUGCAAGUCGAACGGAAAGGCCCCUUCGGGGGUCCUCGAGUGGCGAACGGGUGAGUAACACGUGAGUAACCUGCCCUUGACUUCGGGAUAACUUCAGGAAACUGGGGCUAAUACCGGAUAGGAAUCCUUGCUGCAUGGUGGGGGUUGGAAAGCUUCGGCGGUUUUGGAUGGACUCGCGGCUUAUCAGCUUGUUGGUGGGGUAGUGGCUUACCAAGGCUUUGACGGGUAGCCGGCCUGAGAGGGCGACCGGCCACAUUGGGACUGAGAUACGGCCCAGACUCCUACGGGAGGCAGCAGUGGGGAAUAUUGCACAAUGGGCGGAAGCCUGAUGCAGCAACGCCGCGUGCGGGAUGACGGCCUUCGGGUUGUAAACCGCUUUCAGCAGGGGCGAAGCUUGUGGUGACGGUACCUGCAGAAGAAGCACCGGCGAACUACGU